This 484-nucleotide ribosomal RNA is filed under the name uncultured bacterium. Its description in RNAcentral is "partial 16S ribosomal RNA". It matches the Rfam family "Bacterial small subunit ribosomal RNA", at positions 30 to 507 of the family's 1533-position model. The record is from RNAcentral.
AUUGAACGCUGGCGGCAGGCCUAACACAUGCAAGUCGAGCGGAUGAAGGGAGCUUGCUCCUGGAUUCAGCGGCGGACGGGUGAGUAAUGCCUAGGAAUCUGCCUGGUAGUGGGGGAUAACGUCCGGAAACGGGCGCUAAUACCGCAUACGUCCUGAGGGAGCAAGUGGGGGAUCUUCGGACCUCACGCUAUCAGAUGAGCCUAGGUCGGAUUAGCUAGCUGGUGGGGUAAAGGCCUACCAAGGCGACGAUCCGUAACUGGUCUGAGAGGAUGAUCAGUCACAUUGGAACGGGAACACGCACCAGACGCCUAAGGGAGGCAGCAGUGGGGAAUAGGGGGCAAUGGGCGAAAGCCUGAUACAGCCAUGCCGCGUGUGUGAAAAAGGUCUUCGGAUUGUAAAGCACUUUAAGUUGGGAGGAAGGGCAGUAAGUUAAUACCUUGCGGUUUUGACGUUACCAACAGAAGAAGCACCGGCUAACUUCGUG